AAAUUUCAACAUAUAUUAUCAACUACUAUUCUAUACAAAGAAAGAUAACUCCAAUUGAAAAUUAAUUGCUAUUGCACAAUAUUGUGCAAUUAGAUAUUUCUUGCUAUUGUGCAAUACUGUGCAAUUGAAAAUUAAUUGCUAUUGCACAAUACUUGAUAUGGAAUCCUGAUUUGGACCAACUUGAAAACUGGGCCCAUAAUCAAAAAUCAAAGUACAUAUUUAGAUAAAGCAUAUCAAAUAAGCCCAAGAAUUUAAUUUUUGUUAAAA
Molecule: long non-coding RNA, 267 nt
Filed under: Mytilus galloprovincialis (Mediterranean mussel)
Lineage: Eukaryota; Metazoa; Mollusca; Bivalvia; Mytilida; Mytilidae
Source: RNAcentral